CCCUUAGAUGUUCUGGGCAGCACGCGCGCUACAAUGGUCUUCGCAAACGGAUGCAUUCUCGAAGGAGAAUGCCAAUCUUGGAAUCUAUGCCUUGGUCGGGACAGUUGCUUGCAAUUUUUCGACUCGAACCAGGAAUUCCUUGUAAUCGUGAUUCAUCACAUCACGAUGAAUACGUCCCUGCCCUUUGUGCACACCGCCCGUCGCUCCUACCGAUCGAAGAGUUAGGUGAAUUGUUUUGAUCGAUAAGAUUUGGCUAUGGUCAACUCUCGUUGUGAAAUUCUGUGAAUCUGACUGUUUAGAGGAAGGAAAAGUCGUAACA
RNAcentral lists this ribosomal RNA (319 nucleotides) under uncultured eukaryote. RNAcentral describes it as "partial 18S ribosomal RNA". It matches the Rfam family "Eukaryotic small subunit ribosomal RNA", at positions 1470 to 1796 of the family's 1831-position model. The record is from RNAcentral.